UUGCAUAUUUUUUAAGCGGAGGAAGGAAACCAACAGGGAUUGCCCUAGUAACGGCGAGUGAAGCGGCAACAGCUCAAAUUUGAAAGCUAGCCUUCGGGUUCGCAUUGUAAUUUGUAGAGGAUGAUUUGGGGAAGCCGCCUGUCUAAGUUCCUUGGAACAGGACGUCAUAGAGGGUGAGAAUCCCGUAUGUGACAGGAAAUGGCACCCUAUGUAAAUCUCCUUCGACGAGUCGAGUUGUUUGGGAAUGCAGCUCUAAAUGGGAGGUAAAUUUCUUCUAAAGCUAAAUAUUGGCGAGAGACCGAUAGCGCACAAGUAGAGUGAUCGAAAGAUGAAAAGCACUUUGGAAAGAGAGUUAAAAAGCACGUGAAAUUGUUGAAAGGGAAGCGCUUGCAAUCAGACUUGUUUAAACUGUUCGGCCGGUCUUCUGACCGGUUUACUCAGUUUGGACAGGCCAGCAUCAGUUUCGGCGGCCGGAUAAAGGCUCUGGGAAUGUGGCCUCCACUUCGGUGGAGGUGUUAUAGCCCAGGGUGUAAUACGGCCAGCCGGGACUGAGGUCCGCGCUUCGGCUAGGAUGCUGGCGUAAUGGUUGUAAGCGACCCGUCUUGAAACCACGGA
Molecule: ribosomal RNA, 615 nt
Filed under: Aureobasidium pullulans
Lineage: Eukaryota; Fungi; Ascomycota; Dothideomycetes; Dothideales; Saccotheciaceae
Description: eukaryotic LSU rRNA
Rfam family: Eukaryotic large subunit ribosomal RNA
Source: RNAcentral